This 468-nucleotide ribosomal RNA is filed under the name uncultured bacterium. RNAcentral's name for it is "partial 16S ribosomal RNA". It matches the Rfam family "Bacterial small subunit ribosomal RNA", at positions 28 to 507 of the family's 1533-position model. The record is from RNAcentral.
GACGAACGCUGGCGGCGUGCUUAACACAUGCAAGUCGAACGGAAAGGCCCUGCUUUUGUGGGGUGCUCGAGUGGCGAACGGGUGAGUAACACGUGAGUAACCUGCCCUUGACUUUGGGAUAACUUCAGGAAACUGGGGCUAAUACCGGAUAGGAGCUCCUGCUGCAUGGUGGGGGUUGGAAAGUUUCGGCGGUUGGGGAUGGACUCGCGGCUUAUCAGCUUGUUAGUGGGGUAGUGGCUUACCAAGGCUUUGACGGGUAGCCGGCCUGAGAGGGUGACCGGCCACAUUGGGACUGAGAUACGGCCCAGACGCCUACGGGAGGCAGCAGUGGGGAAUAUUGCACAAUGGGCGGAAGCCUGAUGCAGCAACGCCGCGUGCGGGAUGACGGCCUUCGGGUUGUAAACCGCUUUCGCCUGUGACGAAGCGUGAGUGACGGUAAUGGGUAAAGAAGCACCGGCUAACUACGUG